GCAAAGACAAAUAACAGAACCGUAAUUCGCAUCGAUCGGGCAAAUUAAGAUACACACGUGUCACCAUACUCUUAGCGGCCCGUAACCACCUCCAUCGAACGUACCACCCCGCCUCUCUGGCAUCCUUUUGUACUUUAAUUCCCCACGGCUCAAAAAGAAAAAGAAAAAGAAAAAGAAAAAGAAAAGGCAUAAAAAAUCCCUCCAAAAUCCUAGCACACUCUCCCACGCACUAGGCACCCUCUUUGUUCUCUCUAGAAUCUACCGUCAGAUCUGGAUCGGAACAAGAUGAGCUCGCCGGCGCCGGUUGCUGCGAUGGCGGAGUCGCAGCAACGGAAUUCGUCUUCUUCUUCGUCGUCUUCGAGUUCAGGCGAAAUCUCGGUAAGAAUCGAAGGGGAAAUCAGCAUUGGUGUUGGAACCAGCGGUGAUGGUGAUGAAUUGGAGAGCAGAGAGGCAGUUGAUGUUGCUUCAGUUAGCAACGGAAUCGGCGGCGGCGGGACAUCAAACACUUCAAGGGUUGAAAAGCCUGGUGUCAACAAAUCAGAAUCAAUUCCGAGUCGGCUUAAGUUAGAAAGAUCCAAAACUGAGGGGCAAAGACAUCACAAUAUACUUGCUGAAGAGGCUGCAAAAAUUUACGAUGACAAGCUUCCUGAUCAGGAGAAGCGUAUAUUGUUGAACAGAAUGGCAACUGUCAAAGAUAAUGGAACUGUAGAAGUUGUGGUUCCUGGGGAUGUCGAACCCCGAACUCUUGGGGUCGGAUCUGAUUAUGCAUGUAAUGCAGUUGCUGAUGACGAGCCUCUUGAUGCAACAGACCAGUAUAUACCGCCACUGCAAAUAGUAAUACUCAUUGUUGGCACGCGAGGAGAUGUGCAGCCAUUUAUUGCGAUAGGUAAACGUCUACAGGAUUAUGGCCAUCGUGUUAGACUGGCAACUCAUUCAAAUUUCAGAGAAUUUGUCUUGACAGCUGGGUUGGAGUUUUUUCCUUUGGGUGGAGAUCCUAAAGUUCUUGCUGGUUACAUGGUAAAAAAUAAAGGAUUCUUGCCAUCAGGGCCUUCUGAGGUAUCCAUUCAACGAAAUCAAAUAAAAGAAAUUAUAUACUCCUUACUUCCUGCCUGCAAGGAUCCUGAUAUUGAUUCCAAAAUCCCUUUUAGGGCAGAUGCUAUCAUUGCCAAUCCUCCAGCAUAUGGGCAUACUCAUGUGGCAGAGGCCCUAAAAGUACCACUUCAUAUAUUCUUCACCAUGCCAUGGACGCCAACUAGUGAAUUUCCUCAUCCCUUGUCGCGAGUCAAGCAAUCAGCUGGAUAUCGACUUUCAUAUCAAAUAGUUGAUUCGUUGAUUUGGCUUGGAAUACGGGACAUGAUAAAUGAUCUUAGGAAAAAAAAGUUGAAGCUACGACCUGUCACGUAUCUCAGUGGUUCACAGGGAUCUGACUCUGAUGUCCCACAUGGAUACUUAUGGAGUCCUCACCUUGUCCCUAAACCAAAAGAUUGGGGGCCUAAAAUUGAUGUGGUCGGCUUCUGCUUUCUUGAUCUAGCAUCAAAUUAUGAACCUCCGGAAUCACUUUUGAAAUGGCUUGAGGCUGGUCAGAAACCUAUUUAUAUUGGAUUUGGUAGUCUUCCUGUCCAAGAACCAGAAAAAAUGACCCAAACAAUUGUUGAAGCGGUGGAACAAACUGGGCAGAGGGGCAUCAUUAAUAAAGGCUGGGGUGGCCUGGGCAACUUGGCAGAACCGAAGGACUUUAUAUACCUACUGGAUAACUGCCCUCAUGAUUGGCUAUUCUUGCAAUGCAAGGCAGUGCUUGCACUUUGCUGUCAGGUUCAUCAUGGAGGUGCUGAAACACCAGCUGCUGGUCUUAAAGCUGCGUGCCCGACAACCAUUGUGCCUUUCUUUGGUGACCAACCCUUCUGGGGUGAGCGGGUGCAUGCGAGAGGAGUAGGUCCUCCACCCAUACCUGUUGAUGAGUUCUCACUUACCAAGUUGGUUGAGGCGAUACAUUUCAUGCUAGAUCCCAAGGUGAAGGAGAGCGCGGUGGAGCUUGCCAAAGACAUGGAGAAUGAGGAUGGUGUUGCAGGAGCUGUAAAAGCAUUCUUCAAGCAUCUCCCUCGAAAAAAGCCCGAGCCCGAGCCCGAGACCGAGCCCGAGCCGUCACAGGAACCAUCUAGUAUUUUCUCCUUCAGUAAAUGUUUCGGCUGUCCCUGAAUCUCAACUGGAUCCAUCUGGACUUGGUGGUGUGCUCAAUUUACCUGUAUAGCAUGAUAAGAUUCCUCGGUAGUGGUGUCUGCUGAGUACUAACCGAGAUAGAAUAUACCUGUUUCGUGAACAGCCAGAGGAAUUUUCGACCAUACUUGAUAAAUUGUAAUUAUCUCCAUUUAUUGCGGUCAGUAGGUUUCAUGGGAUGAUGGGUCAUGAUUACGGGUCUCUCUCUCGGCGUCACCUGCCCAGGUGGAUUCUGAAUUUGUGGUUUGUGUUUGUGGCGCUGUCUUCCCUCGAGAACUGAAUGUAGGCGGCGUCUUCUGCUCGACUUUUUGAUGUCGCUGCCCCGCAGAUGAAUGUCUAUUUGCAGUACUUGUCUGAUUGGAGUGGGUCCCAUGUUGCCUUAAAUCUGGCCAUCGUUCUCUUUAUAUUGUAUUGAAACCGUGUGAAUAAUCACCGCCUAAUGAAGA
Molecule: RNA transcript, 2660 nt
Organism: Populus euphratica (Euphrates poplar)
Lineage: Eukaryota; Viridiplantae; Streptophyta; Magnoliopsida; Malpighiales; Salicaceae
Gene name: sterol 3-beta-glucosyltransferase UGT80A2-like
Exons: 15
Source: RefSeq, a predicted model, not a curated record